CUGGCCGCUGCUUAAGUAGUAGGUCUCCUAAUCAGGUGAAUCAGCCUCAGGUGUGCAGGAGGCUUCAACUCAGGAGACCCAGGGCGCUCUCUGCUGGAGAAAGGUGGUAGAUCUCCAGAUCCCAACAUGAAUACCUAAAAGUCCGAAAUUCAGCAAUAGGACACGCUGACUGGUUAAAAAUGACAUGGAAAGGGGACGUGAUGGACCAUCCUUGUCCGCAGGACGGUCCAUUGUGGUAAUGAUUGCCAAGGAAGUGAUGAAGGCUUUUCCUGAUCCCCCAACCCUGUCAUUUAGUACUUCCACAAGAGACAUGGCAAAGGAAAGGAGAUCGUUUGCUGAACUUAUUCUCUCAGCAUCUGGU
Molecule: long non-coding RNA, 361 nt
Organism: Cyprinodon tularosa
Lineage: Eukaryota; Metazoa; Chordata; Actinopteri; Cyprinodontiformes; Cyprinodontidae
Exons: 3
Source: RefSeq, a predicted model, not a curated record